AUGUCUUCGCUUUCAGAGUAUGCACUGUGCAUGUCUCGUCUGAGUGCCCAGAUCUUUGGUGAAGUGGCCAGGUCUACUGACUCAAAAGUCCAUGAAAGUGGUGAGUCUGUUUAGUGAGCAGCCUUUGGCCAAGAAGAAAGAGACUUAUGACUGGUAUCCAAAUCACGACAAGUAUUUUGCGCUCAUGGGCAACCUCUGUUUCCUUGGCCUUUACAAAGAUGAGGAUCAGGACUUUAAGGAUGAGCAAAGAUGUCUAAAGAAGCUCCGUGGGAAGGGGAAACUGAGAAAAGGAGAAGGGAAAAGAGCUACAAAAAAGAAA
RNAcentral lists this long non-coding RNA (319 nucleotides) under Mus musculus (house mouse). RNAcentral's name for it is "long non-coding RNA chr3:37327071-37327390". The record is from RNAcentral. Lineage: Eukaryota; Metazoa; Chordata; Mammalia; Rodentia; Muridae.